CCUACGGGUGGCAGCAGUGGGGAAUAUUGCACAAUGGGGGAAACCCUGAUGCAGCGACGCCGCGUGAGUGAAGAAGUAUUUCGGUACGUAAAGCCCUAUCAGCCGGGAAGAAAAUGACGGUACCUGACUAAGAAGCCCCGGCUAACUCCGUGCAAGCAGCCGCGGUCUUACGUAGGGCGCACGCGUUAUCCGGAUUUACGGGGUGGAAAGGGGGCGUAAACGGCAGUGCAAGUCUGGAGUGAAAUCCCCUGGCUUAACCAAGGAACUGCUGUGGAAACUGUGGAGCUUGAGUGCAGGAGAGGUAAGCGGAAUUCCUAGUGUAGCGGUGAAAUGCGUAGAUAUUAGGAGGAACACCAGUGGCGAAGGCGGCUUACUGGACUGUGACUGACGUUGAGGCUCGAAAGCGUGGGUAGCGAACAGGAUUAGAUACCCUUGUAGUC
RNAcentral lists this ribosomal RNA (440 nucleotides) under uncultured bacterium. Its description in RNAcentral is "partial 16S ribosomal RNA". It matches the Rfam family "Bacterial small subunit ribosomal RNA", at positions 338 to 795 of the family's 1533-position model. The record is from RNAcentral.